AGCGAACGCUGGCGGCAGGCUUAACACAUGCAAGUCGAGCGGGCCCUUCGGGGUCAGCGGCGGACGGGUGAGUAACGCGUGGGAACGUGCCUUCUGGUUCGGAAUAACUCAGGGAAACUUGAGCUAAUACCGGAUACGCUCUUCUGGGGAAAGGUUUACUGCCGGAAGAUCGGCCCGCGUCUGAUUCGCUAGCUGGGGGGGUAACGGCCUACCAAGGCGACGAUCAGUAGCUGGUCUGAGAGGAUGCUCAGCCACACUGGGACUGGGACACGGCCCCGACUACUACGGGAGGCAGCAGUGGAGAAUAUUGGACAGUGGGCGCAAGCCUGAUCCAGCUAUGCCGGGUGAGUGAUGAAGGCCUUAGGGUUGUAAAGCUCUUUUAUCCGGGACGAUAAUGACGGUACCGGAGGAAUAAGCCCCGGCUAACUUCGUG
RNAcentral lists this ribosomal RNA (433 nucleotides) under uncultured bacterium. RNAcentral's name for it is "partial 16S ribosomal RNA". It matches the Rfam family "Bacterial small subunit ribosomal RNA", at positions 29 to 507 of the family's 1533-position model. The record is from RNAcentral.